AGUGCGAGAUCCGCUGCUGCUGAGGAGAGGAGCGUCAACAGCAGCACCAUGGCAACAGAAGAACCUUGAAGGCUAUGUGGGAUUUGCCAAUCUCCCAAAUCAAGUAUACAGAAAAUCGGUGAAGAGAGGUUUUGAAUUCACGCUUAUGGUGAAUCUGGAUUGGGAAAGUCGACAUUAAUCAACUCAUUAUUCCUCACAGAUUUGUAUUCUCCAGAGUAUCCAGGUCCUUCUCAUAGAAUUAAAAAGACUGUACAGGUGGAACAAUCCAAAGUUUUAAUCAAAGAAGGUGGUGUUCAGUUGCUGCUCACAAUAGUUGAUACCCCAGGAUUUGGAGAUGCAGUGGAUAAUAGUAAUUGCUGGCAGCCUGUUAUCGACUACAUUGAUAGUAAAUUUGAGGACUACCUAAAUGCAGAAUCACGAGUGAACAGACGUCAGAUGCCUGAUAACAGGGUGCAGUGUUGUUUAUACUUCAUUGCUCCUUCAGGACAUGGGGCCAAAACCCUGUGACCAGGGUUCAAGGGCAGGAGUCAAAGCCUUAGCCACUCCAAUGCUUCUUGAAGUCCUGUUCUACCUAACUUUUGCUGGCCUAAUACAUCUUCAGAGUGUUUCUGAUAAACUUAAACCAUUGGAUAUUGAGUUUAUGAAGCGUUUGCAUGAAAAAGUGAAUAUCAUCCCACUUAUUGCCAAAGCAGACACACUCACACCAGAGGAAUGCCAACAGUUUAAAAAACAG
This 733-nucleotide small RNA is filed under the name Pan troglodytes (chimpanzee). RNAcentral describes it as "processed transcript". Lineage: Eukaryota; Metazoa; Chordata; Mammalia; Primates; Hominidae. The record is from RNAcentral.